GCAUCGGUAGUGCAUGGAGCACGCACCAAUAUGAUGUCGCUCGAGAGGCAUACAACGGUGAGGCGGGGUUCGAUUCCCCCCGGUGCU
Non-coding RNA from Mycena vitilis, 87 nucleotides. The record is from the annotation of a GenBank genome assembly. NCBI's taxonomy places the organism in Eukaryota, Fungi, Basidiomycota, Agaricomycetes, Agaricales, Mycenaceae.